AUUGAACGCUGGAGGCAGGCCUAACACAUGCAAGUCGAGCGAGCGGCGGACGGGUGAGUAAUGUAUGAGGAUCUGCCCGAUAGAGGGAGAUAACUACUGGAAAAGGUGGCUCAUACCGCAUACUAUCGGCAGAACCCAUAGGGGAUUAGCUAGUAGGUGGGGUAACGGCUCACCUAGGAGACGAUCUCUAGCUGGUCUGAGAGGAUGAUCAGCCACACUGGGACUGAGACACGGCCCAGACUCCUCCGGGAGGCAGCAGUGGGGAAUAUUGCACAAUGGGCGCAAGCCUUAUGCAGCCAUGCCGCGUGUAUGAAGAAGGCCUUAGGGUUGUAAAGUACUUUCAGCGGGGAGGCGUUACCCGCAGAAGAAGCACCGGCUAACUCCGUGCCAGCAGCCGCGGUAAUUC
This 406-nucleotide ribosomal RNA is filed under the name uncultured bacterium. RNAcentral describes it as "partial 16S ribosomal RNA". It matches the Rfam family "Bacterial small subunit ribosomal RNA", at positions 30 to 526 of the family's 1533-position model. The record is from RNAcentral.